CAAAGCUCCUACAUCCAAAGCCUCCAAGAAAAACAGAAUUGGUCUCAAGCUAUGGAAGAGCUCAACAAGGAUUCUGAAAAGAGAGAUAGAAGGAAAAAUGGGAACAGAGAAAGAUCUUUGAUGGACUACAGUGUUUCCAUUGGAGAGGGUCUCAUUAUGCACAGCUACACUGGGAAGGGGCUCAAACUUCGAAUGCACCCUGCUGCACUUUGCUAACAAGGAAAAGGACACAGAGAGAACAAAUUAGAAUUCAAUACCUGUGACUCAUCAUGGCCAACUUUAUUUACAGCUGGAGAAAAAAGGAGGAAAGCACCAGAAUUCAGGAUCAAGUCUUCUGCUUGACUAUACCAUAUGAGAAGUUU
Antechinus flavipes (yellow-footed antechinus) is the source of this 362-nucleotide long non-coding RNA. RefSeq lists it as uncharacterized. The transcript has 3 exons. The record is from RefSeq and is a predicted model, not a curated record. Lineage: Eukaryota; Metazoa; Chordata; Mammalia; Dasyuromorphia; Dasyuridae.